UCUCAUAUUUCUCCUCCUCUCCCUCACACCCUAGGGUUCUUCUAGGGCUAGAUAUGAACCACCAUCAUCCCUUUUCUCCCAUCCUUACUACUACUUCCACUAUCUAUGAUCAACAAGGAAAGAUCUGAUCCUGCAACAGUUGGUAUCAGAGCUUCAGAGCUAGAUCUAAUGGAGAAAAAGUCUUGGAUGCCUGAUUUGGAUAAGGAUCUACCUUGGUCUAAGUAAUCUGCCUUAUUUUAUUCUAGACUACAUAGAUUUGUGGUUGUUCCUUGCGUAGAAUUGAAAUCUGUGUGGAAUGAUGUCAA
RNAcentral lists this long non-coding RNA (305 nucleotides) under Elaeis guineensis (African oil palm). RNAcentral describes it as "long non-coding RNA (EGUI_LNC032885)". Lineage: Eukaryota; Viridiplantae; Streptophyta; Magnoliopsida; Arecales; Arecaceae. The record is from RNAcentral.